RNAcentral lists this ribosomal RNA (433 nucleotides) under uncultured bacterium. RNAcentral's name for it is "bacterial SSU rRNA". It matches the Rfam family "Bacterial small subunit ribosomal RNA", at positions 64 to 507 of the family's 1533-position model. The record is from RNAcentral.
GAACGAUGAAGCUGGAGCUUGCUCUGGUGGAUUAGUGGCGAACGGGUGAGUAACACGUGAGCAACCUGCCCCUGACUCUGGGAUAACAGCCGGAAACGGCUGCUAAUACCGGAUAUGCACCAUGAACGCAUGUUCUGUGGUGGGAAAGAUUUUUCGGUUAGGGAUGGGCUCGCGGCCUAUCAGCUUGUUGGUGAGGUAAUGGCUCACCAAGGCGUCGACGGGUAGCCGGCCUGAGAGGGUGACCGGCCACACUGGGACUGAGACACGGCCCAGACUCCUACGGGAGGCAGCAGUGGGGAAUAUUGCACAAUGGGCGAAAGCCUGAUGCAGCAACGCCGCGUGAGGGAUGACGGCCUUCGGGUUGUAAACCUCUUUUAGCAGGGAAGAAGCGAGAGUGACGGUACCUGCAGAAAAAGCGCCGGCUAACUACGUG